AAAUUUUUGCAUGAAAAUUUUUCAUUUUUGGUGGUUAUUACCGUUACAACGAAAAGUGCUAAAUAAUUAAAGAAAAAAGUUUGUUGGAUUUUAAAUCGCUGGGGAAUACGAGAAUAAAAUGAUCCUGUGCAUUUCAACGAAGCGUUCGGAGAUACAUCAUAAGAUGUCUUGCUCAUUCAAAGUAUAGUGCGGUAGAAGAUUAAAGAAAUCGACGAUAAUAUCCGAACCUAAAGUAGCUUCCAUAAUUUCGAAGGCAAAUUUAAAAUUUAACCUGAAAGGAGAAGCUUUAGUGUACGAAGCAGACGGGACAAAUGUCGACGAUGAGACCUUACAAUUCAUAAUAUCAGAAACAAAACGCUCACAAGAAAUUUUCAUGCUGCUUGAGUCUUUUCAAACUUGGAUCGGCCCACUCUUGGUCGAGAUUGCACAAAAUCUAGAAUCUUCGAAUGUUCACAUCAAAAAUAAUUCAAAUUCUCAAUUAUAUUCUCCUGAGAGAAAACGAUGUAAGAAAGGAGAUUUAAGAAAACAAUGGUCAGCAUUCUACAGUGGACACGUUACCUCCGCCUACCAAAAAUUCAACUUCAUGGGAGAUUCCGUCGCCACUAACACCUUGUAAUUGAAACAAUUUUGAAAUUAAAUGGCCUUCUGAUGGGGAACCAUUUAGAGAUCUUUUGGAUGAUGGAGUUCGUGACAAAUAUUUAGUGACCACAUUUGUCCAAACCGUGGUAUCUCAAAUGUGAACAUUUUGUCCAACUGUUUUAGGAGAGGCUUAUGGAAUAGUUGCAAAGAAAAAGGUCGAUACUUUCCCACAAACCUUCUGCGACUAUUUCGAGAAUGGAGAAGUGUUUAGGCGGGGCUACGCAGUAAUUAAGGAAAAAUUAAAGAAUCGAAAUAAUUAUUUGCUGCGCUUCCAAAGAGGUCUCAACAAGGAAUUGGAAAUUCCUCCGAGUUCCCAAAAAUUAUUGUUGUCGGCAAAAGGAUCAUGUGUCCGUUGCCAAUUUGAUGCUCACCCAGAGGAUGAAACACCGGAAUCCCGACUGGAAGCAGAAGCCUCUUUGCUUGCAAUAGUGACUUCGGAAGAUUUCAGAGAAAUUAGUUUUGAGGAUAAAAUAUUUAUUUUUGGAAAGCAAAAGUGCACAUACGCUGCACAAAGGUUUUUCCUCAAUACUAUUCCGAAUAUACCAACGGCAUUAGCUAUUAAAGAGAAAUGGCCUAUCCUUCUUAUGAAGGAUUAUAUGUUUUGGCACUACGAAAUCUUAAUGCGUCAACCAAUUUCUAAACUAGAAGAUGCCAUUCUUAACAGUUACGCUAAAAUUUUCGCCUUUCACGAGCUGAAAAUCAAGAAAGACGAUCCGAAGAAGAAAAAAAAACACUAUUAAAGGCAACGAAGAGACGAAGGGGAAAGAAUUAACGCCAUAUGAUCGCGUCACAGACACAGAUGCCAUUUUUGACCAAGUUUUCGAAAUAAUUUCGUAACACUUUCAAGAAAAUGUGGACUCUAUUUUCUUACUCUAGUACCAACGAUUCAGCGGAUUUCGUGUUCACGCAAUAUCCGUGUGUUCUACGAAAGAGCGAAAAUAAUUUUAUGCACUACUUAAUAAUUAAUAAUGUAGAAUGCCAGGAAAUUAGUGAUCUUAGCGAUGUUUUAAAAAUAUUUGUCGCUUUUUAUUAUGUACUUAACUGAAUGUUUCCGGACUGUUUUUCUGCCACGAUGCAGUUAAUUCAAGAAUGCUUUAUGAAAAUCAAAUCGAAGGAGGGAAGUAAAUGUCGCCAAAAUACACGUAUCCGUAAGAAGGUCAUGGGCAUAUUUAAUAAACUACGAGAUGUGAAUGUGCCGAAUAGUUAGUGUCAAAGGUAGUCUUCGAGAAGUAAAAGGCAAUAUGUUUUACAAUAGAUCUAUAAAAUCAACGAGUUUUUUGUUCUCUUGAUUUUAAAAUAAGAUUAAGUUCUCUUGUAUAAAGUAAGGUAAUAGAAUUGACAAAAUUUACGUUUUUUGUUUGCUUGUUUGUAAGAUAAAAUUUACGUCUCUUGGCUGUGACACAAUUACUUCUAAUUUCUUAUAAUAAUAUUUAAUAUGUAACAUGCAAUAAUUGGAAAGAUGUUAAAAACGUAUUUAAAUACCACUUUAGAAACUGUUAUCUCUGUCGAUCAAUCCAUACUUUAAAAGAAAAAUGUAUACUUUAACAGGACAAAAAAUUAGUCAUACAAAAAAUAUUACUUUUCAGUAAUAAUUACAGUAGAUCCAAAUUUCAACAAACUACGAGCUGUUAAAGAUUUACAACAUCUACGAUUUUUUGUUCUCUUGUUUUCAAGAUGAUAUUUAAGACUUUUGUACAAAAUAAGGUAAUAUGAUUUACAAAAUCUAAGUUUUUUGUUCGCUUGUUUAUAAGAUAAAAUUUACGCCUCUCUUCACUGUGACACAAUUACUUCUAAUUUAUAAUAGUAUUUAAUGUGUAACAUGCGUUAGUUGGCAAGACAUUGAAAACAUUUUUAAUCACCACUUUCGUAACAAUUAUCUCUAUUGAUUAAUCCAUACUUCAAAAGAGAAUUGUAUGCUUUAACA
Long non-coding RNA from Belonocnema kinseyi, 2563 nucleotides. RefSeq lists it as uncharacterized. The transcript is spliced from 3 exons. NCBI's taxonomy places the organism in Eukaryota, Metazoa, Arthropoda, Insecta, Hymenoptera, Cynipidae. The record is from RefSeq and is a predicted model, not a curated record.